CGAGCCAGCAUUCUCCAGUCACAGCCGCGUGCGCUGGGGGCAUCCAGACUGGCACAAAUUUUCUGCCGUAUGGAUACGGGCAGUCGGAAAGCAUAUGGGCCCACUUGAGAUGAAGGCAGGCACGAACCUCCUGCUGGCAACGAUCUUGCAGGUGAGCUGGGAAACCACCAGGCUUCCUCUCUCCAGACUGAAGGUGCAAUGCAACGGCCGCUGACUCCCGCUCCAAAUGUGAUAGAAUGGGAUUUCCUGGGACACACAAUACACAAGAGGCAAAUUUUUAGUGAAAGGGAACAUCACGAAUUACAUCUGAGGAUGCUCCAAUGGCCUCUCUCAUCUUUUAGACAUCAUGCUCACCUCCCAGGCGCCUUGAUGGUUCUGCAUUUUGAGGGUGAGGGUCCAGUCUGGGGGCUCUAGCUGUGCACAGUGGGGCAGACUGAGGACCACAGGUCUGCUCAGCAGCAU
Megalobrama amblycephala (Wuchang bream) is the source of this 462-nucleotide long non-coding RNA. RefSeq lists it as uncharacterized. The transcript is spliced from 3 exons. The record is from RefSeq and is a predicted model, not a curated record. NCBI's taxonomy places the organism in Eukaryota, Metazoa, Chordata, Actinopteri, Cypriniformes, Xenocyprididae.